UUUCCGCAGGGCCUCGGACUCCCGCAGACCGCGGAAGGCGCGCAGGUAUGCAUGAACGUCGUCGGAGAGAACGCCCAGGAAGGCGUCACCUGGGUGCACUCGUAUUUCACGCCCGACCGCACCAAGAGCUUUUGCAUCUAUGACGGCCCGAGUCCGGACUCGAUCCGCAAGGCGGCGCAACGCACCAAGCUCCCGAUCGACAAGAUCACCGAAGUGCGCGUGCUCGAUCCGUACUUCUUCCGCGCCGAUUGAUCGCUCGCAUCGGCCUGCCGCCGUCGAAGGAUGACGAUGGCAGGCCGGGUGUGAUGGCUAGACGUUCCCGAUCCGCACGAUGCACAGGUCGGGCGCCGUCUCCGUGACCGCGAUCG
Molecule: unclassified non-coding RNA, 368 nt
Filed under: uncultured fungus
Lineage: Eukaryota; Fungi
Description: sequence contains ITS1
Source: RNAcentral